This 465-nucleotide ribosomal RNA is filed under the name uncultured bacterium. RNAcentral's name for it is "partial 16S ribosomal RNA". It matches the Rfam family "Bacterial small subunit ribosomal RNA", at positions 28 to 507 of the family's 1533-position model. The record is from RNAcentral.
GACGAACGCUGGCGGCGUGCUUAACACAUGCAAGUCGUACGGUAAGGCCCUUUCGGGGGUACCCGAGUGGCGAACGGGUGAGUAACACGUGAGUAACCUGCCCACAACUUUUGGAUAACGCUAGGAAACUGGUGCUAAUACUGGAUAUGUUCUCCUGCUGCAUGGUGGGGGUUGGAAAGCUCCGGCGGUUGUGGAUGGGCUCGCGGCCUAUCAGCUUGUUGGUGGGGUAGUGGCCUACCAAGGCGGCGACGGGUAGCCGGCCUGAGAGGGUGACCGGCGACAUUGGGACUGAGAGAAGGCCCAGACUCCUACGGGAGGCAGAAGUGGGGAAUAUUGAACAAUGGGCGCAAGCCUGAUGAAGCAACGCCGCGUGCGGGAUGACGGCCUUCGGGGUGUAAACCGCUUGCAGCAGGGACGAAGCUUUUUGUGACGGUACCUGCAGAAGAAGCACCGGCUAACUACGUG